GGCCCGGUAGUGGAUGGUCCGCACCCACAUUCAAUCGCAGGAGUCAGUCCACAUUCGUGUGGGAGGCGCUCGUUCGAAUCGAGCCCGGGCCA
Mycena epipterygia is the source of this 92-nucleotide non-coding RNA. Lineage: Eukaryota; Fungi; Basidiomycota; Agaricomycetes; Agaricales; Mycenaceae. The record is from the annotation of a GenBank genome assembly.